GAUGAACGCUGGCGGCGUGCCUAAUACAUGCAAGUCGAGCGAACAGACGAGGAGCUUGCUCCUCUGACGUUAGCGGCGGACGGGUGAGUAACACGUGGAUAACCUACCUAUAAGACUGGGAUAACUUCGGGAAACCGGAGCUAAUACCGGAUAAUAUAUUGAACCGCAUGGUUCAAUAGUGAAAGACGGUUUUGCUGUCACUUAUAGAUGGAUCCGCGCCGCAUUAGCUAGUUGGUAAGGUAACGGCUUACCAAGGCAACGAUGCGUAGCCGACCUGAGAGGGUGAUCGGCCACACGGGAACUGAGACACGGUCCAGACUCCGACGGGAGGCAGCAGUAGGGAAUCUUCCGCAAUGGGCGAAAGCGUGACGGAGCAACGCCGCGUGAGUGAUGAAGGUCUUCGGAUCGUAAAACUCUGUUAUUAGGGAAGAACAAAUGUGUAAGUAACUAUGCACGUCUUGACGGUACCUAAUCAGAAAGCCACGGCUAACUACGUG
This 497-nucleotide ribosomal RNA is filed under the name uncultured bacterium. RNAcentral's name for it is "partial 16S ribosomal RNA". It matches the Rfam family "Bacterial small subunit ribosomal RNA", at positions 28 to 507 of the family's 1533-position model. The record is from RNAcentral.